GGAGGUAUGGUUCAAAUGGUAGAGCACCAGUUGACUAAGACUAACAAGUGAGAGGAUCUGAGUUCAAACCCCAGUACUGCCA
This 82-nucleotide transfer RNA is filed under the name Dipodomys ordii (Ord's kangaroo rat). It matches the Rfam family "tRNA". From Rfam's summary of the family: Transfer RNA (tRNA) molecules are approximately 80 nucleotides in length. Their secondary structure includes four short double-helical elements and three loops (D, anti-codon, and T loops). Lineage: Eukaryota; Metazoa; Chordata; Mammalia; Rodentia; Heteromyidae. The record is from Rfam by way of RNAcentral.